CUCAUCCUGGGCUUUUUUUUGGAUGGGAGACUUUUGAUGACCAUUUCUACUUCCUUAGGGGAUAUAGGACUAUUUAAUUGAUUUACCUGGUCUUGAUUCAGCUUUGGUACAGCCCUCUUGAAGAACCUGCUGAUUCCCUAGCUGUGGGGUUUUCUCCCAACAGGAAAACUCAGUCUGGUACUCUGGGGCACACAGUUCUGUCUGGCUUUCCUCUCACCUGGCAACCACAAACGCUGGUGUUUUGAGUCCCUGAGUUCAGUCUCCUGGUUGCUGUGCCAACACUGCUGUCCUGCUCCUCAGACACGGUGUCCUCCCGGCGCCGCCAUCUUGUCACACCUCCAGCUUCUUCAGGUCUGUGGAUUAUCGUACGGUUAUCCUGUAUUAUAUGGCUAAUAUCCGCUUAUAAAGCCAAAGAACUUUCCUUUUAAAAGAUGCUUACUGCAAACAAAUGGCCAAAGCUCUAAAUCCACUUACAAAAUACCUGCUUUUGCACUGCCUUUUCUUCAUGAGACAUGGCACAGUCUGUCCAGCAGGAAAUCUGUUCAGAACAUUACAAUAACAUCAGGCCCGUUUCCCCGGAAGAGGGGCCCACUUCCACUGGACGUCUAGGCUGAUGAUGGAUGGACUUGUAAUUUUUCUGCCAAUGUGUCACCAGUAGCUGCAUUGGGUUAUGCUCAUUUAUUUCAAAAUGACUUAACCCUAACCUACUCUAAUAUUAAUGUUUUAUUAAGUUUCUUUGGCUCUUUUCUUUCCUUUUUCCUUCUUCAGAAAUCCAAGAGUCCAGAAUAUUUCUCAGUUGUGGUUUUUCUCCAUUCAAACAACUUAGAAUACUAUGCUUGAAUCAACAACCAAAAUCACACUUGCUUCCUGUAGUCAGAAACUCCAAGAGCCACUAAGAACUUUCAACUGGUGUUUAUAGAAGAUGCUGGC
Meriones unguiculatus (Mongolian gerbil) is the source of this 930-nucleotide long non-coding RNA. RefSeq lists it as uncharacterized. The record is from RefSeq and is a predicted model, not a curated record. NCBI's taxonomy places the organism in Eukaryota, Metazoa, Chordata, Mammalia, Rodentia, Muridae. The transcript is spliced from 5 exons.